RNAcentral lists this ribosomal RNA (253 nucleotides) under uncultured bacterium. Its description in RNAcentral is "partial 16S ribosomal RNA". It matches the Rfam family "Bacterial small subunit ribosomal RNA", at positions 524 to 776 of the family's 1533-position model. The record is from RNAcentral.
UACGGAGGGUGCAAGCGUUAUCCGGAUUCACUGGGUUUAAAGGGUGCGUAGGUGGGUUGGUAAGUCAGUGGUGAAAUCCCCAGGCUCAACCUGGGAACUGCAUUUGAAACUCCCUUUCUUGAGUACCGGAGAGGAAAGUGGAAUUCCUGGUGUAGAGGUGAAAUUCGUAGAUAUCAGGAGGAACACCAGUGGCGAAGGCGGCUUUCUGGACGGUAACUGACGCUGAGACGCGAAAGCGUGGGGAGCAAACAGG